This 189-nucleotide non-coding RNA is filed under the name Thermoanaerobacter italicus Ab9. RNAcentral describes it as "6S RNA". It matches the Rfam family "6S / SsrS RNA". Rfam says of the family: E. coli 6S RNA was the first non coding RNA to be sequenced, but its function was unknown until recently. The record is from RNAcentral. Lineage: Bacteria; Bacillati; Bacillota; Clostridia; Thermoanaerobacterales; Thermoanaerobacteraceae.
AAAACCCUGUGGUGCGCGUGACAUCCGGUGAAAGUUUGAGCCAACACCAAUAAUAAGGGAGCCUGGGCUUUGGCAGUGGAUUGUAGGCCGCCUUUGAACGGAAGCGGAAACAUGAAGCUGCCAAGAGGGCACCCACGUUGUGAGGACGGGUUCAAGAACUACCGGGAGGCACGGCACUAUGGGGGUUUU